Molecule: non-coding RNA, 27 nt
Filed under: Tetraselmis striata
Lineage: Eukaryota; Viridiplantae; Chlorophyta; Chlorodendrophyceae; Chlorodendrales; Chlorodendraceae
Source: RNAcentral
GACGUGGACGAGGGUGCGGUGGUGAAG